UUUAUGUAAAUCUCGAUUCCCUGGCUACGUGGUAACAUUGUCGACCCGCCGAUAUCGUAAAGGUACAGAAAUAGCUGCAUCAACACCUGUUCAAUGCAAAGAGCAACGACUUGAAGUUUGACCCCAACUUCCCAGCAGCGACCGCUUUAAUUUGCAAGUCCAAACAGUGUCAGUGGGUAGGUGAGACUUACUUAACGACAUGGGGCGUCAUUAGUCCAGUCUCAGCUUUCUAAAACUCGCCUAGCGCUUAGCUGAAAGCGAAAGUUAUCAAUGUGAUUUGCUUUAUUGAGGGAGGUGAGGGGUCGGCGCGGAUCGUUCGGGCAUGCCAGGCACACGACGACACCGGCAUGCUUUGAUAAGGUCCGACUACAUUAUAUUGUACGUUAAUAUAGCUCUGGUAUUAUGUCGACAGUUAUCAGCAUGAGCUAGACAAAUUCAACCUGCUGUUAUCGGACAAAAUCGUGGCCUGAUGCUUCAGACAUGCGUGUGGAAAACAUAAUUUUGUUGAGGCGCGUGUUUCUGGGCACCUAAGGUGAGAACUUUCCAAGUACUGUUUGUUACCCAAUCACAAAGGGCAAGUGCUUGAAUCGAAAACAAGUGCCCCUAAUAAACGCCGCUGUUUGCUGAUAA
Non-coding RNA from Drosophila virilis, 630 nucleotides. The record is from RefSeq and is a predicted model, not a curated record. NCBI's taxonomy places the organism in Eukaryota, Metazoa, Arthropoda, Insecta, Diptera, Drosophilidae.